GAUGAACGCUGGCGGCGUGCCUAAUACAUGCAAGUCGAGCGAACAGACGAGGAGCUUGCUCCUCUGACGUUAGCGGCGGACGGGUGAGUAACACGUGGAUAACCUACCUAUAAGACUGGGAUAACUUCGGGAAACCGGAGCUAAUACCGGAUAAUAUAUUGAACCGCAUGGUUCAAUAGUGAAAGACGGUUUUGCUGUCACUUAUAGAUGGAUCCGCGCCGCAUUAGCUAGUUGGUAAGGUAACGGCUUACCAAGGCAACGAUGCGUAGCCGACCUGAGAGGUGAUUCGCCCACCCGGAACUGAGAACCGGGCCCGACUCCCACGGGAGGGCAGCGGUGGGAAUUCUUCCGAAUUGGGCGAAGCCUUAACGAAGCAACGCCGGGUGGGUAAUGAGGGUCUCCGGUUCUAAAACCUCUGUUUUUGGGAAAGAACAAAUGUGUAAGUAACUAUGCACGUCUUACCGGUCCCUAAUCAUAAGGCCCCGGCUACCUCCUU
This 496-nucleotide ribosomal RNA is filed under the name uncultured bacterium. RNAcentral's name for it is "partial 16S ribosomal RNA". It matches the Rfam family "Bacterial small subunit ribosomal RNA", at positions 28 to 506 of the family's 1533-position model. The record is from RNAcentral.